UGGGAAUGCCCCGAGGCGUUUUGUUAGGGACUGUGAAAUAUUGUGUCUGUUUCUUGGCAAAUCUGUCCAUUUCUCGGCAAAUGCAUAAAUUUUGAUAAUGAGCGAAGAUUUGGACGAGAGCUUGCCUUUGCAAGACUUAGAAAGCAUCUGGUCGGGUUCAGAGGAAGAUUUGGAGACGUCUAUGCAUAAUCUAUCGCUGAAUGACGAGGAUUAUGGUAAGUGUUGACAAAUUGAUACAAGCCAUGUGUGCAGGGCAUAUAAUUUCUGUUGGAAAUAUCGCAAUAUUUGCAUAAACCGCUUUUAAUAUUGUCAUUUUUCAUCACAUCAGAUAAUGAUAAACGGAGAACAAGCACUCCUAUACAAGAAAUACAUCAGAUAAUGAUAAACGGAGAACAAGCACUCCUAUACAAGAAGAAGGCAACGUGAAAAGCCCCGCGCAAGGAAAGCACACAUUCACGGCUCCAUCAACAAAGCAAACUCCAUAUUUGCCACCGUUGAAGAGAGUUUGUGUUGGUAAGUUUUAAAAAUAGUUUCAUAUAUUCAAAAUUAUAUAUCUCUUUGAACAAACUUUAUCGCGUGCGAGAUUUCAUUGGAUUUAUAAUUUAUUAAAUAGCUUAUAAUAAUUCAAUUGUUCAGGAAAAUCCCUAUCAGGGAAACAACGAUUGGAUCAAAGAAAGGCCACUACAUUGUUUUAAAAGAUGGUUUUGAAUUGCACGACAACAGUCAAACACCUAAUGAUACGGUUCUGGCAUAUCUGGGCGACGAUACUGUCAUAAAAUCACGCGUAUAAACUCGAGCAGUAAAGAGGCUUUCCUUGGAGUCUACAUCAAGAGGUAUAGAAAAGAUAACAAAAAUCAGUAUCCUUUUUAU
This is a non-coding RNA of Paramuricea clavata, 870 nucleotides long. The record is from the annotation of a GenBank genome assembly. NCBI's taxonomy places the organism in Eukaryota, Metazoa, Cnidaria, Anthozoa, Malacalcyonacea, Plexauridae.